Molecule: ribosomal RNA, 400 nt
Filed under: uncultured bacterium
Lineage: Bacteria
Description: bacterial SSU rRNA
Rfam family: Bacterial small subunit ribosomal RNA
Source: RNAcentral
UGGGGAAUUUUGGACAAUGGGCGAAAGCCUGAUCCAGCCAUUCCGCGUGAGUGAAGAAGGCCUUCGGGUUGUAAAGCUCUUUCGCAAGGAAAGAAAACUUACCCCCUAAUACGGGGUGAGGUUGACGGUACCUUGAUAAGAAGCACCGGCUAACUACGUGCCAGCAGCCGCGGUAAUACGUAGGGUGCGAGCGUUAAUCGGAAUUACUGGGCGUAAAGCGUGCGCAGGCGGUUUGAUAAGUCUGAUGUGAAAUCCCCGGGCUCAACCUGGGAACUGCGUUGGAAACUGUCAGGCUAGAGUAUGGGAGAGGGAGGUAGAAUUCCACGUGUAGCAGUGAAAUGCGUAGAGAUGUGGAGGAAUACCGAUGGCGAAGGCAGCCUCCUGGCCUAAUACUGACGCU